RNAcentral lists this long non-coding RNA (640 nucleotides) under Androctonus crassicauda. The record is from RNAcentral. Lineage: Eukaryota; Metazoa; Arthropoda; Arachnida; Scorpiones; Buthidae.
GCACUAUUUAUUCUUUACACACAAACCAUUUGUUCCUGCAAACAGUUUAUAUUAGUAAAAAUAGUGUUAGAUAAAAACAAAACUGAAAUGUUUUAUAUGUGAAUAUAACUAUAUUAAAAUUUAUAGAAAGAAUAAACACAACAAAAACUAUAUACAAAUAUCAGUUACAGCUAUAAAUAACAAAAAUGAAGCUUUAGCUUGUCAUUUAAAGUGAAUGCUAAAUUGAUUGAUUGAUUAUGUCAUUAAAUUAUGCAAGGAAUGAAUACAUUUGGCAGUGAUCACUUCAGAUCUUGCUGCAGGCUGCCAACAUCCAUAAUGUUGUCAAGUGGAAGAUUGAAGGAUGGGUUUAAUGAGCUGGAUAGGAACUGUACUCUUUCUGAAAAAUCUGAAAGCAUGGGAUCCAGAAUUGAACCCAGUUCUUUCUAUAUGGUAAGUGAUUGUUUUACACUUGGCCAUCUAGCUGCCCAUUGAUUUUGGAUUAGAAAUUUAAUUAAUAGUAUAUCAGGAGAUAUAAAAUGAUUUUCCUAGUAAUGUUAUAUUGCCUGAAAAAUUAUCGAAUCUAAUUUUAUCAUGACCUAUAGAUAUUAAUAUCAGAUUGUCCUGUAAGUAAUUUGUUUUUUUAUUGCAAAAUGAAUCCUGU